CAACUCGCCUGCAUGAAGUCGGAAUUGCUAGUAAUCGCAGAUCAGCAUGCUGUGGUGAAUACGUUCCCGGGCCUUGUACACACCGCCCGUCACACCAUGGGAGUCGGUAACACCCAAAGUUGGUAGUCUAACCGCAAGGAGGACGCCGCCUAAGGUGGGAUUGAUGACUGGGGUGAAGUCGUAACAAGGUAGC
Molecule: ribosomal RNA, 193 nt
Filed under: uncultured bacterium
Lineage: Bacteria
Description: partial 16S ribosomal RNA
Rfam family: Bacterial small subunit ribosomal RNA
Source: RNAcentral